UUCACCUUCACUUACAUGAGGCGGCGCCUGUAGAUGCUGCACCAAAGCCGGAACAGCGCCACAAUCUACAAUUACGUUCACAAUUUCCUCGUUUUUAGCAAAUUCAGAGAGGACAUGUAUAGCGCGUUUGGAAGAGGCUCGAUCUGACUCAGAUGAAGAAAAAGAUGACUCAAGAAUCUCGACCUGUGUACGAACUUCACGUUCCAGAUCUUGAUGACCAUCUUCGGAAGAUAUAGAAGGAGAAACCUUACGAUCGUCUUGGAGAUCUUCCUCUAACUUUCUCUUCAAGCUCCUCCUCGCAGAACUUGAGGAACGCUCGGUAAGUUUCUGGUUCUCCAUGGGAGAGAGGAAAUGAGGAAGAGGAGA
RNAcentral lists this unclassified non-coding RNA (366 nucleotides) under Hevea brasiliensis (rubber tree). The record is from RNAcentral. Lineage: Eukaryota; Viridiplantae; Streptophyta; Magnoliopsida; Malpighiales; Euphorbiaceae.